UACGUAGGGUCCAAGCGUUGUCCGGAAUUAUUGGGCGUAAAGGGCUCGUAGGCGGUUUGUCGCGUCGGGAGUGAAAACACGGGGCUUAACCCCGUGCCUGCUUCCGAUACGGGCAGACUAGAGGUAUGCAGGGGAGAACGGAAUUCCUGGUGUAGCGGUGAAAUGCGCAGAUAUCAGGAGGAACACCGGUGGCGAAGGCGGUUCUCUGGGCAUUACCUGACGCUGAGGAGCGAAAGUGUGGGGAGCGAACAGG
RNAcentral lists this ribosomal RNA (253 nucleotides) under uncultured bacterium. Its description in RNAcentral is "partial 16S ribosomal RNA". It matches the Rfam family "Bacterial small subunit ribosomal RNA", at positions 524 to 776 of the family's 1533-position model. The record is from RNAcentral.